RNAcentral lists this long non-coding RNA (268 nucleotides) under Solanum tuberosum (potato). RNAcentral's name for it is "long non-coding RNA (STUB_LNC004427)". The record is from RNAcentral. Lineage: Eukaryota; Viridiplantae; Streptophyta; Magnoliopsida; Solanales; Solanaceae.
UGAGAUGUAAAGCUAGGGAAGUUCGAGAAAACAACUGAGAUUUGGAUCCGGUUGUGAACUAUGUCAUUAAAUUGAUGCUUCGACACAGUAUUUCGCAAGAUUUCUUUCUUCAGCAAGGCAGCAGUGACUUCUGCAAGAAGUUCGAUCCACAGAAUUAUUGAUAGUUUUAUUUUUUUAGUAGAGUGUAGUAUGUACUCAUGACCUCUUUAGAGAAACACAUGAAAGAUUUUGUCUUUGUAUGUCAUCCUUGUCAUUGUCCCUAUACUAG